GACGAACGCUGGCGGCGUGCUUAACACAUGCAAGUCGAACGGAAGUUACGAGGAAGCUUGCGAAUUGUAACUUUAGUGGCGGACGGGUGAGUAACGCGUGGAUAACCUGCCUACAUGCCUGGGACAACACCGGGAAACUGGUGCUAAUACCGGAUACGCUCUUGGAUGCACAUGCAUUUGAGAGGAAAGGAGAAAUCCGCAGGUAGAUGGGUCCGCGUCCCAUUAGCUAGUUGGGGGUGUAAAAGACCACCAAGGCGACGAUGGGUAGCCGGCCUGAGAGGGUGGACGGCCACACUGGAACUGAGACACGGUCCAGACUCCUACGGGAGGCAG
This 333-nucleotide ribosomal RNA is filed under the name uncultured Bacillota bacterium. RNAcentral's name for it is "bacterial SSU rRNA". It matches the Rfam family "Bacterial small subunit ribosomal RNA", at positions 28 to 351 of the family's 1533-position model. The record is from RNAcentral. Lineage: Bacteria; Bacillati; Bacillota.